GGAAGCGUGACAGUAGUGAAAAUAACAGCCAUCGUACUUGGUCAUAGUGAAAACGAUAAUCGUGAUAAGUGGUGGUGAUAACAGUGAUCAAAAGUAGAGCUAUUAGCAAUGGAAAUUAUAAUAAUGCUGUGGCACAGUAGUGAUAAUAAUAGUGAUAUAGCUAUUACUCACAAGUAGGCAGUACACCUGCUGUCCCAGCCUGGCCUGCGUUUGUUUGUGGGUCUCACGCGCUCUAUGGUGCUCCUGCCUGCAGGGGGCGUUGUAGCAGCACAUCGCCUGCAGGGUGACUCUCUAGCCGCGGCCUCACUUUCUAUGGUGCUGCGGUAGGGACGUUCUCUCACACGCGCAUAUCUAUGGUAGUGGCUUAUCCAAAGGGCGGAUCUCGCUCCCCCGGGCCGGCAGGGGGCGGAGUGAUUCCUGGCUUGACGCUCUAGCCAAGGGGCAUGUGUCCUUCCGCGGGGCUGGCCUGCUUCCGGCCUGGCCAAAGGCGGAAGUGUGCGGCGGGGUGCCAUGUAACUUCCGGAGAGGAGCGGGAGGAGGAGGCGCCGCCGCGCGGGGAGCCGGGCUGUGUCCGUCUGUUUGUUUGUCUGUCCGUGGAGCUCCGCCAGGGCUGCUGGGGCAUCCGCCCGCCCCUGUGUCAGGCGCUGUCUGUCCGUCCGUCGGUCUGUCUGUGGUCUCGGGCUCGCCCUGUCCAGGCUCGGGUCUGUCGGUCUCAGUCCGCCCCUGUGUCAGGCGCUGUCUGUCUGUCGGUCUGUCCUGAGUCUCAGGCUGUCCGUGUGUCCUGGGUGCUGGUCGGUGCAGGGCUGAGCAGUGCCUGGGUCCCCCCGAGGCUGGGAGAGGAGGCAGCAUGUCUGUGGCUGGGCUGAAGAAGCAGUUCUACAAAGCGAGCCAGGUGAGAGACCCAGAGACUGACACCCUUCGCGCUCACAUCUACAGCAGGUUAUAAUAAUAAUAAUUAAUUAAUAUAUGGAGAUAUACCUAUCUCAUAGAUCUGGAAGGGACCUUGAAAGGCCAUCACCUUCACUAGCAGGACCAAUUAUUUUUUGCCCAGAUCCCUAAAUGGCCCCCUCAAGGAUUGAACUCACAACCCUGGGUUUAGCAGGCCAAUGCUCAAACCACUGAGCUAUCCCUCCCCCCAAGAGAGGUUGCCCUCACCUCUCUUGCAUGUCCCCAGUUGUGGCAAGGUUGGCAAACGUUGGCUAAGUUUGGGAAGUCUUGUGCACGGAGCCUCAGGGACCUGUGUUGCCAGACUCAUAUUGACACUCAGAGGUGUUGCCUCUGUUAUCAGACACUUGCAUGCCUACAUGGCCUCCUCCACAGAUCCCUUACAGUUGCACCCUCAGAAAGUCUUCCCCCGUUGCACCUUUGGACACUUGCACUCACACGGUUUCUGGAGCUUCAGGGUUCAGCUAACAUGGUGCCCUUUAAUUCCUGGCAUCAUCAUUUGCCCCCGUUCAGAUUUCUCUGCU
This 1469-nucleotide long non-coding RNA is filed under the name Chrysemys picta bellii (western painted turtle). RNAcentral's name for it is "lncRNA (ENSCPBG00000001393.1)". Lineage: Eukaryota; Metazoa; Chordata; Testudines; Emydidae. The record is from RNAcentral.